AUUCUCACGUGUUCGACUUCUCAGGUGCGUUCAGGUGCAUCGCCAGGUGGUUUCGACUGCCGUUGGCUGCUGCUGCUGCGUAAAAAAAAAAAAAAAGACGGAAGGAGACUCUCCCCAAUAAGCUUGGCUACAGAAAAACUCACGCGGGACAAUAAUUGCAGACGUAACUGAAGUACGGUUUGCCACGGGGUCCUCUGGUACCGGGGCAUUUUGCCCAUCCGCAACCGACUCGGUGGGUCGGCGCCCAAACCAUUUGCGUGUAAUGGCCUACCUGACUCAGAUCAUUUUGUGCGUCGGCUCCGUAUUUGAAAAUCUCCUUCUCCAAAUACCACGUCUUGAUCGCGAAAAACCUGGGCACAGAAAUCAAUUCCGUUCACACAAAAAUC
Molecule: unclassified non-coding RNA, 386 nt
Filed under: Athalia rosae (coleseed sawfly)
Lineage: Eukaryota; Metazoa; Arthropoda; Insecta; Hymenoptera; Athaliidae
Description: misc RNA ENSAEAG00005008325.1
Source: RNAcentral